Molecule: ribosomal RNA, 478 nt
Filed under: uncultured bacterium
Lineage: Bacteria
Description: bacterial SSU rRNA
Rfam family: Bacterial small subunit ribosomal RNA
Source: RNAcentral
AACGAACGCUGGCGGCGCGCUUAACACAUGCAAGUCGAACGAGAAGGCGUAGCAAUACGCUUGUAAAGUGGCGAACGGGUGAGGAAUACAUGGGUAACCUACCCUCGAGUGGGGGAUAACCCGCCGAAAGGCGGGCUAAUACCGCGUACGCUUCCGAUCUUGCGGGAUCGGAAGGAAAGCUGUCCCAAGGGGAUGGCGCUCAAGGAUGGGCUCAUGUCCUAUCAGCUUGUUGGUAGGGUAACGGCCACCAAGGCAUCGACGGGUAGCUGGUCUGAGAGGACGAUCAGCCACACUGGCACUGCGACACGGGCCAGACUCCUACGGGAGGCAGCAGUAAGGAAUAUUGCGCAAUAGGCGAAAGCCUGACGCAGCGACACCGCGUGGGGGAUGAAGGCCUUUCAGGUCGUAAACCCCUUUCGGCAGGGACGAAGCGAUCACUCGUGACGGUACCUGCAGAAGAAGCCUCGGCUAACUACGU